Molecule: RNase P RNA, 290 nt
Filed under: Klebsiella ornithinolytica
Lineage: Bacteria; Pseudomonadati; Pseudomonadota; Gammaproteobacteria; Enterobacterales; Enterobacteriaceae
Description: Raoultella ornithinolytica partial RNase P RNA component class A
Rfam family: Bacterial RNase P class A
About the family: Ribonuclease P (RNase P) is a ubiquitous endoribonuclease, found in archaea, bacteria and eukarya as well as chloroplasts and mitochondria. Its best characterised activity is the generation of mature 5'-ends of tRNAs by cleaving the 5'-leader elements of precursor-tRNAs.
Source: RNAcentral
GAAGCUGACCAGACAGUCGCCGCUUCGUCGUCGUCCUCUUCGGGGGAGACGGGCGGAGGGGAGGAAAGUCCGGGCUCCAUAGGGCAGGGUGCCAGGUAACGCCUGGGGGGGAAACCCACGACCAGUGCAACAGAGAGCAAACCGCCGAUGGCCCGCGCAAGCGGGAUCAGGUAAGGGUGAAAGGGUGCGGUAAGAGCGCACCGCGCGGCUGGUAACAGUCCGUGGCACGGUAAACUCCACCCGGAGCAAGGCCAAAUAGGGGUUCAUAAGGUACGGCCCGUACUGAACCC